UAGUUUUCACCUAUAUAUAGGGCACGAAUAAGCCCUAGUGAGGUACGUUUUUACAGUUGCAUGAGUUUUAACCUAGUUUUCAUAAAGUUACUCAGAAUAGUAGUCUCUAGUUGUUCUUGACGGCACACCCAGCUGUGAGCACAAGGCAAUUAGGGCUACACAGUUUAGUUACAGAGUUCCAGUUGUUGAGAUUAUUAUACAGCUUCUAGUUACUUUGGUGUUUCUCGCUAACUGACUUGAUCGUCGGAGUGCAAACGGCCGCGAGGGCGCCCCUUUGUUCUUCCUUUUCAGGUACACAGACGUGGCAGAACGAAGGUCCCCUAGCUUGUUAGAACGAAGCCACGCAUAAAGACGACCCAGGUCAACCGGCCGGAACAGGAUUUAAUAUAGGUUAACCAGAAGGAUAUAUUAGUGUACUGACAAAAGCUUAUGGGAUAAUUGAUACAUCUUGGUUGUACUUUGCAAAUUCUCCAAACUUAGGAGAGCUGAAUACACUAUUCCCAAUACUUAUACAUAAAUUAAUUAGGAUUUGACACUUGG
This 540-nucleotide long non-coding RNA is filed under the name Phaseolus vulgaris (common bean). Its description in RNAcentral is "long non-coding RNA (PVUL_LNC000949)". Lineage: Eukaryota; Viridiplantae; Streptophyta; Magnoliopsida; Fabales; Fabaceae. The record is from RNAcentral.